GCCUGGGUGGCUCAAUCGGUUAAGCAUCAGACUUUGGAUCAGGUCACGAUCUCAUGGUUCGUGGGUUCAAGCCCCACAUCAGGCU
This 85-nucleotide transfer RNA is filed under the name Felis catus (domestic cat). It matches the Rfam family "tRNA". From Rfam's summary of the family: Transfer RNA (tRNA) molecules are approximately 80 nucleotides in length. Their secondary structure includes four short double-helical elements and three loops (D, anti-codon, and T loops). Further hydrogen bonds mediate the characteristic L-shaped molecular structure. tRNAs have two regions of fundamental functional importance: the anti-codon, which is responsible for specific mRNA codon recognition, and the 3' end, to which the tRNAs corresponding amino acid is attached (by aminoacyl-tRNA synthetases). tRNAs cope with the degeneracy of the genetic code in two manners: having more than one tRNA (with a specific anti-codon) for a particular amino acid; and 'wobble' base-pairing, i.e. permitting non-standard base-pairing at the 3rd anti-codon position. Lineage: Eukaryota; Metazoa; Chordata; Mammalia; Carnivora; Felidae. RNAcentral also lists the same sequence under 1 other name. The record is from Rfam by way of RNAcentral.